UUAGAGUUUGAUCCUGGCUCAGGACGAACGCUGGCGGCGUGCCUAAUACAUGCAAGUCGAACGCGUCCCGGUUGAUGAAGUUGAGUGCUUGCACUUGAUUGAUUCAACUUGGUGACGAGUGGCGAACUGGUGAGUAACACGUGGGUAACCUGCCCCGAAGCGGGGGAUAACAUUUGGAAACAGGUGCUAAUACCGCAUAACAACCAAAACCUCCUGGUUUUGGUUUAAAAGACGGCUUCGGCUGUCACUUUGGGAUGGACCCGCGGCGUAUUAGCUAGUUGGUGAGGUAACGGCUCACCAAGGCGAUGAUACGUAGCCGACCUGAGAGGGUAAUCGGCCACAUUGGGACUGAGACACGGCCCAAACUCCUACGGGAGGCAGCAGUAGGGAAUCUUCCACAAUGGACGCAAGUCUGAUGGAGCAACGCCGCGUGAGUGAUGAAGGGUUUCGGCUCGUAAAACUCUGUUGUUGGAGAAGAACGGGUGUCAGAGUAACUGUUGACAUCGUGACGGUAUCCAACCAGAAAGCCACGGCUAACUACGUGCCAGCAGCCGCGGUAAUACGUAGGUGGCAAGCGUUGUCCGGAUUUAUUGGGCGUAAAGCGAGCGCAGGCGGUUUUUUAGGUCUGAUGUGAAAGCCUUCGGCUUAACCGGAGAAGUGCAUCGGAAACCGGGAGACUUGAGUGCGGAAGAGGACAGUGGAACUCCAUGUGUAGCGGUGAAAUGCGUAGAUAUAUGGAAGAACACCAGUGGCGAAGGCGGCUGUCUGGUCUGCAACUGACGCUGAGGCUCGAAAGCAUGGGUAGCGAACAGGAUUAGAUACCCUGGUAGUCCAUGCCGUAAACGAUGAGUGCUAAGUGUUUGAAGGGUUUCCGCCCUUCAGUGCUGCAGCUAACGCAUUAAGCACUCCGCCUGGGGAGUACGACCGCAAGGUUGAAACUCAAAGGAAUUGACGGGGGCCCGCACAAGCGGUGGAGCAUGUGGUUUAAUUCGAUGCUACGCGAAGAACCUUACCAGGUCUUGACAUCUUCUGCUAACCUA
Molecule: ribosomal RNA, 1040 nt
Filed under: uncultured bacterium
Lineage: Bacteria
Description: bacterial SSU rRNA
Rfam family: Bacterial small subunit ribosomal RNA
Source: RNAcentral